Long non-coding RNA from Serinus canaria (Common canary), 1878 nucleotides. RefSeq lists it as uncharacterized. The transcript has 3 exons. NCBI's taxonomy places the organism in Eukaryota, Metazoa, Chordata, Aves, Passeriformes, Fringillidae. The record is from RefSeq and is a predicted model, not a curated record.
CCCAAAGCCAGCUCGGCUCAGCCCCAAAGCCAGCUCGGCUCAGCCCCAAAGCCAGCUCGGCCCCAAAGGCAGCUUGGCUCAGCUCAGCCCCAAAGCCAGCCCAGCUCAAUCCAAACCCAGCUCAGCCCAAACCCCCCCACAGCCUCUGGAGCAGGGCACAACCCCUCUGGAAUGCCAGGGCUGGCUUUGUCACAGCCCCUGAAGGCCUGAGCAUUGUUCAGAGCCCGGGCUGGGAAAUGCCAGGGAAAUGCCACGCGUUGGGAAAGUGCCACAGGCUCCAGGGUGGCAGGAGGGCAGGGCUGGGAGAGUGCCACAGGCUCCAGGGUGGCAGGAGGGCAGGGCUGGGACAGUGCCACAGGCUCCAGGGUGGCAGGAGGGCAGGGCUGGGACAGUGCCACAGGCUCCAGGGUGGCAGGAGGGCAGGGCUGGGACAGUGCCACAGGCUCCAGGGUGGCAGGAGGGCAGGGCUGGGACAGUGCCACAGGCUCCAGGGUGGCAGGAGGGCAGGACAAUGGGAAUUGCUGCUGCCGGGGUGGACUUGGAGAGUGGGGACAAUGGCAGGAGCUGCAGCACUGUUCCUGCCUCAGUGGGACACUGAGGGACAAAAUGCAGCCUGGGAGACAGGGACAGACCCCAGCAGGACACUGAGGGACAGAAGCCACCCUGGGACACUGAGGGACAGAGCCCAGCACCCUGUGAGGGAUCUGAACCCAACUGGGACACUGAGGGAUAAAAUCCAGCCUGGGACACUGAGGGAGAGACCCCAGUGGGACAUGGAGGGACAGACACGAGGUUCCCUCUGGUUUCCCAGUGCAUUGCAGUUCCCAGGUGCCCUGAGAACCGACCAGAACCGUCCCUGCAGCUUCAGAACCAACCAGAACCGUCCCUGCAGCCACUGAGAACCAACCAGAACCGUCCCUGCAGCUUCAGAACCAACCAGAACCGUCCCUGCAGCCACUGAGAACCAACCAGAACCGUCCCUGCAGCUUCAGAACCAACCAGAACUGUCUCUGCUGUCUCAGAACCAUUCCUGCAGCUUCAGAACCGACCAGAACCGUCCCUGCAGCCUCAGAACCUUCUCCCCACCAGGACAGACUGAACUGCAGCAGCUCAGCCACCGCUGAGGGGUGAGUCCUGCCCAGGAGUGGGAGAUCAUCCAUCCAUCCAUGGAUCGCUCCAUCCGUCCAUGGAUCCAUCCCUCCCUCCAUGGAUCCCUCCAUCCCUCCAUGGAUCCCUCCAUCCCUCCAUGGAUCCCUCCAUGGAUCCCUCCGUCCUUUCCCGGUGCCAGCUCUCCAGGCCUGCCCCGUUAUCAGCUCCCCCCAGCAGCUCCCAGGAGGGAGGAAUCGUUUGAAGCGAUCGAAUGUCAGCGAUCAGCCCCGAGCGCAGCGUUAAUCCCGCCUGGCUCCUCCCGGAGCCCUCGGUGGGCAGCGAGAGCUUUUCUAAACUCUGUAAAUUUCUGGAACAAUUUCCUCUAAAAUUUUUUCCUCUAAAAUCACUUUCUAAGCAGCAAUUGCCGACAGAUUUCUCGUGCACAAGCGCUUCUAAACACCCACAGCAGCUUGGCAGGCUCAGCUUUCAUUCUGAGAAGGUUUUGGAGGCGAGCGGGAGGCAAGGACGGGGAAAAGCAGCGCAGGAACGCUUCGCCUUCCCGGCACUUACCUGGCUCAGGUAAUGAAUGAAUUUCUGCUGAUGAAUUCCUGUUAAUUAAUGAAUUUCUGCUGAUGAAUUCCUGCUCAUUGAUGAAUUUCUGCUGAUGAAUUCCAGGGGAGCCCCUGGGAAAUCCAAAUUUAGGAGAAUCUCCUCAGCCGGAGCUUCCUGAGGAAUUUCCCCCCACGUCAGGAGCUGCUCCCAGCCUCCCUCAGCACCUCUGAUCUCCCA